Pongo abelii (Sumatran orangutan) is the source of this 98-nucleotide non-coding RNA. NCBI's taxonomy places the organism in Eukaryota, Metazoa, Chordata, Mammalia, Primates, Hominidae. The record is from Rfam.
AUCACCUAGGAAUCUUGUUAAAGUGCACAUUCUGAUUCAGCAGGUCUGGGGCAGGGCCUAAGGCUCUGCAUUUCCAGCAAGCUCCCAGGAGAUGUUGA